GACGAACGCUGGCGGCGUGCUUAACACAUGCAAGUCGAACGGAAAGGCCCUGCUUUUGUGGGGUGCUCGAGUGGCGAACGGGUGAGUAACACGUGAGUAACCUGCCCUUGACUUUGGGAUAACUUCAGGAAACUGGGGCUAAUACCGGAUAGGAGCUCCUGCUGCAUGGUGGGGGUUGGAAAGUUUCGGCGGUUGGGGAUGGACUCGCGGCUUAUCAGCUUGUUGGUGGGGUAGUGGCUUACCAAGGCUUUGAUGGGUAGCCGACCUGAGAGGGGGACCGGCCACACUGGAAGUGAGACACGGGGCAGAGUCCUACGGGAGGCAGCAGUAGGGAAUCUUCGGCAAUGGGCGAAAGCCUGACGGAGCAACGCCGCGUGAGUGAUGAAGGUCUUCGGGUCGGAAAACUCUGUUAUUAGGGAAGAACAAAUGUGUAAGUAACUAUGCACGUCUUGACGGUACCUAAUCAGAAAGCCACGGCUAACUACGUG
RNAcentral lists this ribosomal RNA (488 nucleotides) under uncultured bacterium. RNAcentral describes it as "partial 16S ribosomal RNA". It matches the Rfam family "Bacterial small subunit ribosomal RNA", at positions 28 to 507 of the family's 1533-position model. The record is from RNAcentral.